Molecule: ribosomal RNA, 507 nt
Filed under: uncultured bacterium
Lineage: Bacteria
Description: bacterial SSU rRNA
Rfam family: Bacterial small subunit ribosomal RNA
Source: RNAcentral
CUGGCUCAGGAUGAACGCUGGCGGCGUGCCUAAUACAUGCAAGUCGAACGAGAGUGCUUGCACUCGAGUGGCGAACGGGUGAGUAACACGUAGGUAACCUGCCUCACAGUUUGGGAUACCCAGAGGAAACUUUGGCUAAUACCGGAUAAUUGGUUGGAAGGCAUCUUCCGACUCUAAAAGGGGCCUUUAAAGCCUCGCUGAGAGAUGGACCUGCGGCGCAUUAGCUAGUUGGUGAGAUAACAGCCCACCAAGGCGAGGAUGCGUAGCCGACCUGAGAGGGUGAACGGCCACACUGGAACUGAGACACGGUCCAGACUCCUACGGGAGGCAGCAGUAGGGAGUUUUCGGCAAUGGGGGAAACCCUGACCGAGCAACGCCGCGUGAGUGAUGAAGGUUCCUUCGGAUUGUAAAGCUCUGUUGUAGGGGAAGAACGAUAUGAUGAGGAAAUGCUUCAUAUUUGACGGUACCUUAUUAGAAAGCCACGGCUAACUACGUGCCAGCAGCAGC